Molecule: ribosomal RNA, 205 nt
Filed under: Enterococcus faecalis
Lineage: Bacteria; Bacillati; Bacillota; Bacilli; Lactobacillales; Enterococcaceae
Description: partial 23S ribosomal RNA
Rfam family: Bacterial large subunit ribosomal RNA
Source: RNAcentral
GAUAAGGUUAAGUGAAUAAGGGCGCACGGUGGAUGCCUUGGCACUAGGAGCCGAUGAAGGACGGGACUAACACCGAUAUGCUUUGGGGAGCUGUAAGUAAGCUAUGAUCCAGAGAUUUCCGAAUGGGGGAACCCAAUAUCUUUUAUAGGAUAUUACUUUUCAGUGAAUACAUAGCUGAUUAGAGGUAGACGCAGAGAACUGAAAC